AGAGUUUGAUCCUGGCUCAGAUUAAACGCUGGCGGCAUGCCUUACACAUGCAAGUCGAACGGCAGCACGGGGGCAACCCUGGUGGCGAGUGGCGAACGGGUGAGUAAAGCAUCGGAACGUGCCCUGGAGUGGGGGAUAACGUAGCGAAAGUUACGCUAAUACCGCAUAUUCUGUGAGCAGGAAAGCAGGGGAUCGCAAGACCUUGCGCUUUGGGAGCGGCCGAUGUCGGAUUAGCUAGUUGGUAGGGUAAAGGCCUACCAAGGCGACGAUCCGUAGCGGGUCUGAGAGGAUGAUCCGCCACACUGGGACUGAGACACGGCCCAGACUCCUACGGGAGGCAGCAGUGGGGAAUUUUGGACAAUGGGCGCAAGCCUGAUCCAGCCAUGCCGCGUGAGUGAAGAAGGCCUUCGGGUUGUAAAGCUCUUUCGGUGGGGAAGAAAUUGCACGGGUUAAUAGCCUGUGUAGAUGACGGUACCUGGAGAAGAAGCACCGGCUAACUACGUG
RNAcentral lists this ribosomal RNA (504 nucleotides) under uncultured bacterium. RNAcentral describes it as "bacterial SSU rRNA". It matches the Rfam family "Bacterial small subunit ribosomal RNA", at positions 8 to 507 of the family's 1533-position model. The record is from RNAcentral.